Molecule: ribosomal RNA, 433 nt
Filed under: uncultured bacterium
Lineage: Bacteria
Description: partial 16S ribosomal RNA
Rfam family: Bacterial small subunit ribosomal RNA
Source: RNAcentral
AACGAACGCUGGCGGCAUGCCUAACACAUGCAAGUCGAACGAGACCUUCGGGUCUAGUGGCGCACGGGUGCGUAACGCGUGGGAACCUGCCCUUAGGUUCGGAAUAACUCCCCGAAAGGGGUGCUAAUACCGGAUAAUGUCUUCGGACCAAAGAUUUAUCGCCUUUGGAUGGGCCCGCAUUGGAUUAGCUAGUUGGUAGGGUAAAAGCCUACUAAGGCGACGAUCCAUAGCUGGUCUGAGAGGAUGAUCAGCCACACUGGGACUGAGACACGGCCCAGACUCCUACGGGAGGCAGCAGUGGGGAAUAUUGGACAAUGGGCGAAAGCCUGAUCCAGCAAUGCCGCGUGAGUGAUGAAGGCCUUAGGGUUGUAAAGCUCUUUUACCCGGGAUGAUAAUGACAGUACCGGGAGAAUAAGCGCCGGCUAACUCCGUG